RNAcentral lists this ribosomal RNA (729 nucleotides) under uncultured eukaryote. RNAcentral's name for it is "SSU rRNA". It matches the Rfam family "Eukaryotic small subunit ribosomal RNA", at positions 670 to 1426 of the family's 1831-position model. The record is from RNAcentral.
CGGGUGCACUGAUCCAGCCGGGCCUUUCCCUCUGUGGAACCCCAUGGCCUUCACUGGCUGUGGUGGGGAAACAGGACUUUUACUUUGAAAAAAUUAGAGUGCUCCAGGCAGGCCUAUGCUCGAAUACAUUAGCAUGGAAUAAUAGAAUAGGACGUGUGGUUCUAUUUUGUUGGUUUCUAGGACCGCCGUAAUGAUUAAUAGGGACAGUCGGGGGCAUCAGUAUUCAAUUGUCAGAGGUGAAAUUCUUGGAUCUAUUGAAGACUAACUACUGCGAAAGCAUUUGCCAAGGAUGUUUUCAUUGAUAAGGAACGAAAGUUAGGGGAUCGAAGACGAUCAGAUACCGUCGUAGUCUUAACUAUAAACUAUGCCGACUAGGGAUCGGACGAUGUUAUUCUUUGACGCGUUCGGCACCUUUCGAGAAAUCAAAGUGCUUGGGCUCCAGGGGGAGUAUGGUCGCAAGGCUGAAACUUAAAGAAAUUGACGGAAGGGCACCACCAGGGGUGGAACCUGCGGCUUAAUUUGACUCAACACGGGGAAACUCACCAGGUCCAGACACAGUGAGGAUUGACAGAUUGAGAGCUCUUUCUUGAUUCUGUGGGUGGUGGUGCAUGGCCGUUCUUAGUUGGUGGAGUGAUUUGUCUGCUUAAUUGUGAUAACGAACGAGACCUUAACCUGCUAAAUAGCCCGUACUGCUUUGGCAGUUCGCCGGCUUCUUAGAGGGACUAUCGG